UACGAGGGGUGCAAACGUUGUUCGGAAUUACUGGGCGUAAAGAGCGUGUAGGCGGUAUGUUAAGUCAGUUGUUAAAUUCCUUGGCUCAACCAAGGGUCAGCGAUUGAAACUGGCACACUAGAGGGCAAGAGAGAGGUGUGGAAUUCUCGGAGUAGCGGUAAAAUGCGUAGAUCUCGAGAGGAACACCGAAGGCGAAGGCAGCACCUUGGCUUGUACCUGACGCUGAGGCGCGAAAGCGUGGGGAGCAAACAGG
RNAcentral lists this unclassified non-coding RNA (253 nucleotides) under uncultured bacterium. RNAcentral describes it as "contains 16S-23S intergenic spacer region". It matches the Rfam family "Bacterial small subunit ribosomal RNA", at positions 524 to 776 of the family's 1533-position model. The record is from RNAcentral.